Molecule: ribosomal RNA, 1377 nt
Filed under: uncultured bacterium
Lineage: Bacteria
Description: bacterial SSU rRNA
Rfam family: Bacterial small subunit ribosomal RNA
Source: RNAcentral
GAUUGAACGCUGGCGGUAUGCUUAACACAUGCAAGUCGAACGGAAACGAUACUAGCUUGCUAGUAGGCGUCGAGUGGCGGACGGGUGAGUAACGCGUAGGAAUCUGCCUGAUAGUGGGGGAUAGCCCGAAGAAAUUCGGAUUAAUACCGCAUAAUCUAUUCGUAGUAAAGUGGGGGACUUUCGAGCCUCACGCUAUCAGAUGAGCCUGCGUAAGAUUAGCUAGUUGGUAGGGUAAAAGCCUACCAAGGCUACGAUCUUUAGCUGGUCUGAGAGGAUGAUCAGCCACAUCGGGACUGAGACACGGCCCGAACUCCUACGGGAGGCAGCAGUGGGGAAUAUUGGACAAUGGGGGCAACCCUGAUCCAGCAAUACCGCGUGUGUGAAGAAGGCCUGAGGGUUGUAAAGCACUUUCAAUUGUGAAGAAAAGUUAACGGUUAAUAACCGUUAGCCUUGACGUUAACUUUAGAAGAAGCACCGGCUAACUCCGUGCCAGCAGCCGCGGUAAUACGGAGGGUGCAAGCGUUAAUCGGAAUUACUGGGCGUAAAGCGUGCGUAGGCGGUUUAUUAAGUCAGAUGUGAAAGCCCCGGGCUUAACCUGGGAACUGCAUUUGAAACUGGUCAACUAGAGUAUGGUAGAGGAAAGUGGAAUUUCUGGUGUAGCGGUGAAAUGCGUAGAUAUCAGAAGGAACAUCAAUGGCGAAGGCAGCUUUCUGGACCAAUACUGACGCUGAGGUACGAAAGCGUGGGUAGCAAACAGGAUUAGAUACCCUGGGUAGUCCACGCCGUAAACGAUGAUAACUAGCCGUUGGGGGGAUUUACCCUUUAGUGGCGAAGCUAACGCGUUAAGUUAUCCGCCUGGGGAGUACGGCCGCAAGGUUAAAACUCAAAGGAAUUGACGGGGACCCGCACAAGCGGUGGAGCAUGUGGUUUAAUUCGAUGCAACGCGAAGAACCUUACCUGGUCUUGACAUCCUGCGAACUUUCUAGAAAUAGAUUGGUGCCUUCGGGAACGCAGUGACAGGUGCUGCAUGGCUGUCGUCAGCUCGUGUCGUGAGAUGUUGGGUUAAGUCCCGUAACGAGCGCAACCCCUAUCCUUAUUUGCCAGCACGUCAUGGUGGGAACUAUAAGGAGACUGCCGGUGAUAAACCGGAGGAAGGCGGGGACGACGUCAAGUCAUCAUGGCCCUUACGACCAGGGCUACACACGUGCUACAAUGGGAAGGACAAAGAGCCGCGAAGCCGCGAGGUGUAGCUAAUCUCAGAAACCUUUUCGUAGUCCGGAUUGGAGUCUGCAACUCGACUCCAUGAAGUCGGAAUCGCUAGUAAUCGUAGAUCAGAAUGCUACGGUGAAUACGUUCCCGGGUCUUGUACACACCGCC